Non-coding RNA from Cinara cedri, 408 nucleotides. The record is from the annotation of a GenBank genome assembly. NCBI's taxonomy places the organism in Eukaryota, Metazoa, Arthropoda, Insecta, Hemiptera, Aphididae.
GGCACAUUUCGCUAUUUUGGCCCAUUUUGCUGAAUCAUAAUAAAUACUUAUACCAUAACUGAACUUUGUCAAUGUUUUUAUAUAUUUAAAGAGCUACAAAAUAUAUCUUUGACAUUCCGAGCUUAAAAAUGGUUUAUUGUGUAAUAAAAAAAAAAUGAUAAUCGUCGUUUUUUCUCAUUUUAAUCUAGGGCUCGCUCGUGUUUCUUCGGUAAAACACGUUUUAGCUUUUUAUUCUUUUAUUUAGCUAUCCAGCUGUGGUCUAAUCGUCGUUAGGUUAGGUCUACUACUUCUACUUGCCAGAUCAAGAAUUUCAAUAGUUUAAAAACUUCUCUGGAGAAUACAGAUAAUUUUGCGAAAAAUCGCAUACAAAUUUAUCUAGUAUAGUUUCAGAGAACACGCGUAACAAAG